UUCCUGGUGGGUUAGUGGCUAGCAUGCGGCACUCUUAUCGCUGUGGCCCGGGUUUGAUCCCCGGUCAGGGAA
Non-coding RNA from Pangasius djambal, 72 nucleotides. The record is from the annotation of a GenBank genome assembly. Lineage: Eukaryota; Metazoa; Chordata; Actinopteri; Siluriformes; Pangasiidae.